CGGGUUGUGGCUCAGCAGGAGAGCGCUUGCCUAGCAAGCAUGAGACACUGGGUUCGAUCCCUGGCACCGCAU
This is a non-coding RNA of Ictidomys tridecemlineatus (thirteen-lined ground squirrel), 72 nucleotides long. The record is from Rfam. Lineage: Eukaryota; Metazoa; Chordata; Mammalia; Rodentia; Sciuridae.